CUAAGUUUGAUGGCGACCGGCGCACGGGUGAGUAACACGUAUCCAACCUGCCGAUGACUCGGGGGAUAGCCUUUCGAAAGAAAGAUUAAUACCCGAUGGCAUAGUUCUUCCGCAUGGUAGAACUAUUAAAGAAUUUCGGUCAUCGAUGGGGAUGCGUUCCAUUAGGUUGUUGGCGGGGGUAACGGCCCACCAAGCCUUCGAUGGAUAGGGGGUUCUGAGAGGAAGGUCCCCCCACAUUGGAACUGAGACACGGUCCAAACUCCUACGGGAGGCAGCAUG
RNAcentral lists this ribosomal RNA (279 nucleotides) under uncultured bacterium. RNAcentral's name for it is "partial 16S ribosomal RNA". It matches the Rfam family "Bacterial small subunit ribosomal RNA", at positions 79 to 353 of the family's 1533-position model. The record is from RNAcentral.